UCUGUGUGAAAAAAGUACAUAGUCUGGCCUGCCCACUGAGUAGUUUGAAGGGCCGCGGUAUUUGGACCGUGCUAAGGUAGCAUAAUAAAUAGUCUUUUAAUUGAAGUCUAGUAUGAAUGGUCGGACAGGAAGUGAGCUGUUUGCAACUAUAAAGUGUGAGUUUUACUUUUAAGUGAGAAGGCUUAAAUUGUGUGGUGGGACGAUAAGACCCUAUAAAGCUUUACAUUUUGACUGCUUUGUUGAAGAAUUUAAGGUGUUCUGUUCUUGGUAGUUAAGUGUUUCGUUGGGGCGACGAGAAUAUAAAUAGUAACUGUUUUUAUAGUAAAACAGAGUUUUUUGGGGGAGUUGAUCCUUUAUUAGGAUUAUAAGAAUAAAGUUACUUUAGGGAUAACAGCGUAAUUUUUCUUGAGAGUUCAUAUCGACAGAAGUAGUUGCGACCUCGAUGUUGAAUUAAGGUUUCCCCAAGGUGUAGCAGUUUUGGUGGUAGGUCUGUUCGACCUUUAAAGC
Molecule: ribosomal RNA, 507 nt
Filed under: Caridina weberi
Lineage: Eukaryota; Metazoa; Arthropoda; Malacostraca; Decapoda; Atyidae
Description: partial large subunit ribosomal RNA
Rfam family: Bacterial large subunit ribosomal RNA
Source: RNAcentral